This is a non-coding RNA of Patiria miniata (bat star), 73 nucleotides long. Lineage: Eukaryota; Metazoa; Echinodermata; Asteroidea; Valvatida; Asterinidae. The record is from the annotation of a RefSeq genome assembly.
GGUUUCGUAGUGUAGUGGUUAUCACGUUCGCCUCACACGCAAAAGGUCCCCGCUUCGAACCCAGGCGGAAUCA